AUACAGUGGCGAAGCUAGAGCAAAUCAAAGAGGGGUGCAGUUAACUUGUGGGUGCAUAUACAUGAGUUUUAGGGGGUGCAUAUAUGGUAAAAUUUUGAUUAAAUCUACUGUUUUUGCAAUUUGGGGGGGUUGCAUUUGCACCCCCUACUUACAACACAGCUUCGCCCCUGUUCUCAUAUGUUAUUCAAUCACGGGACCUUUCCAUACUUUUUGCUGCCUUUGAUUCUGAACUUAUUACCUCCAUCUAAAAAAGUCCAAUUUCACGUAGUAGACCACUCUCUCUGCCUUCAAAUAUAAGGAAUCUAUGCGAUUUUUCUAGUCAAUUUAACGAUGGGCCACUUAUAGUCUUACAGUCACCCUACCAACCCCUUCUGUGUGUGUUCCUGUCAUCAUAAGGCCUUGUUUACUUUCAAAUUUUUUUGUAAAAUAGGAAUAGAAGCAGUUUCAUUUGUAUUUGAUAAAUAUUAUCUAAUUAUAGACUAACUACACUCAAAAGAUUCGUCUCGUCAAUUCCGACCAAACUGUGUAAUUAGUUUUUAUUUUCAUCUAUAUUUAAUACUCCAUGCAUAUGUCUAAAGAUUCGAUGUGACGGGGAAUCUGAAAAAAUUUUCAAAGUUUUUGGGGAACUAAACAAGGCCAUGGGCGACACCUGCCUAGGUGCAAUUUUUGGAAAAAGUCUACGUAACCCCCCA
Molecule: long non-coding RNA, 692 nt
Filed under: Sorghum bicolor (sorghum)
Lineage: Eukaryota; Viridiplantae; Streptophyta; Magnoliopsida; Poales; Poaceae
Description: long non-coding RNA (SBIC_LNC016519)
Source: RNAcentral